Molecule: unclassified non-coding RNA, 332 nt
Filed under: soil metagenome
Description: partial contains 5.8S ribosomal RNA, internal transcribed spacer 2, and large subunit ribosomal RNA
Rfam family: 5.8S ribosomal RNA (bases 1-120)
Source: RNAcentral
GAUGAAGAACGCAGUGAAAUGCGAUACGUAAUGUGAAUUGCAGAUUUCAGUGAAUCAUCGAAUCUUUGAACGCACAUUGCGCCCGCUAGUAUUCUGGCGGGCAUGCCUGUUCGAGCGUCAUUUCAACCAUCAAGCCCUAGGCUUGCGUUGGAGCCCUGCGGCUGCCGCAGGCUCCCAAAUCCAGUGGCGGGCUCGUCGUCGUACCGAGUGCAGUAAACAUCCUCGCUCAGGGAACGUGACGGGCUCUUGCCGUGAAACCCCCCACAUAUCAAGGUUGACCUCGGAUCAGGUAGGAAUACCCGCUGAACUUAAGCAUAUCAAUAAGCGGAGGA